ACUAUAAAUUAGCCGAAUGCAUACGCAGCGGAGGAUGCAUCUUUGGGGUGAAGCACAUCUGUGCAGGGAUUCCUCUUCCCGAACCCGUCAACUAACUUCGCAGGCUAUUAGGAGGAAAAAC
RNAcentral lists this small RNA (121 nucleotides) under Clostridiales bacterium oral taxon 876 str. F0540. Its description in RNAcentral is "c-di-AMP riboswitch aptamer (ydaO/yuaA leader)". It matches the Rfam family "c-di-AMP riboswitch aptamer (ydaO/yuaA leader)". From Rfam's summary of the family: This family represents a conserved RNA structure found upstream of the ydaO and yuaA genes in Bacillus subtilis and related genes in other bacteria. The ydaO/yuaA element is thought to act as a genetic "off" switch for the ydaO and yuaA genes in its native state. The record is from Rfam by way of RNAcentral. RNAcentral also lists the same sequence under 1 other name. Lineage: Bacteria; Bacillati; Bacillota; Clostridia; Eubacteriales.